UGGGUAGCCGCAGGCAGGGCUGGUCUAAGGCCAGAAAAUGAAGCCAGAAGGGGUUGCAGUGUGGAUGCGUGCAGUCACUCACUGGGAUUAGAGAAGGCAAAAAGAGGAAACCCAGGGAGGAAGGGAGUAGAAAUCCUGGGUUCCUGGCCCUAAAGGAAGGGUUUACCCCUGGGGGGCAGGCAGGAGUGGAGAAAGAAGCCUGAUAGAAUAGGAAACAGCCAAGGGAAAUGGCAGCAGGGUAUUGGGACAGAGCAGACUUGGGCUGCUGAAAGUAGGGUCCCUGGGCUGGAAGCUGGAGUAUUGGACAUAUUGGGCAUAGCCUUGAAUUGGAGGAGUGCCGGGAACGAUUCCUGUUUAGCCAGUCCAGUGAGACUUCGAGUACCCUGGAAGGGGGAAACCACAUAGUGACCUGACUGGAGGGCUGCAUCGCAAAGCGGGAGCACUGCAAGUCAUGACGUGUGAGAAGAGCCACAGCGUGAAUGACAGACAGAAGGGGGCGUCAGACCGAGCGAAGCUAGUCCCCAGACGCAGCCACGAGGAAGCGCCUGAACGAGCCCCAUUGCUGGUGUGUGAUGUGAACAGGUCUCGCUGCUGCUCAUUCAAGCUCAAGCUGGAUCAGAAAUUUGAGAAACGAAAUUUCUAGCCCGGGUCUGAAAUGUCAGAAGGGCCGCAACAAUGCUUGGAGGAGUCACCCUGCUCUGAAAUGACUGAGGGAGAGCAGCAAAAAGGAAACCACAUUUCUUCUCAUUCCAAACCAAUGCGGUGGUUUGUGAUUUGGAUCCGGAUUCAGGUUCAGUUUCCAUAUGCAUCUCCCCACCAGUGAAAUCCUAACUCUACUGCUGUCAAUGGAAGUUUUGCUAUUGACUCAAUGAAGCCAGGAUUAUACCCCUAAACCUGAGAGGUGUGUGGAAUUGUUUAUUUUCUACAGGCCCAAUAUUUCUCUGAAUCACCUGGGGUGACUUGUUCAUUUUUUUUUGUCGAGUUCAUUUGUUUUUUGUCUAGAUAGUUUUUUGCCCCUAUUUUUACAAAUGAACUGUAAGAUGCAAACUAUAAAUUAUAAAUGAACAGUUUCAAUGAGGGUGUUCAUUGCAAUGACGGAAAUCUAAUUAAGCAGCUUUAAUAUCUAAGUGAUAUUAUUAUUAAAGAGUUACAUUAACAGAGCAUUUGAUCAGCCUCUUCAUUUGUUCUUUGUGGAUUGUAUUUAUGAGAUAGUAUGCUUCUGAAUGACACAAAGAUCAAUUCCUUUAUUCAGAGGGAAACAUGACAUCAUGAGUUUAAAUUGAAAUACAUUAAUAUAGAAGGCCCAUGGAAACAAAUACACUGUUCUCCCAGCCUAAUUGACUUAGUUUAAUUGACUUUAAGUAACUGUUUGUAUUGAUUGGCUUCAGGUUGUGAUUUGACAGCCACAUAAAGGGCCUAAUUUUUAAAGCAGACCAGAGUUCCAAAUGCAAAAAUGCAUAUGAAGUUCCACAUCCCAUGGUACACUCAUUUACCAUGGUGCCAAGCUCAAGUCACAACUCAUGAGUUAGGCCGGUGGCUGGUUAGUCAGCUCCCAUUUGUGCACACAAUCACAUUAAACAGUUGACUUGCAUGCAUACAUUUUGUCCCUUAAAGAUCUGGUCCAAUGUGACUUUAUGAAACAAUGGGAGCCAGAUUUUCCAAAAGUUUGGGUCUGCAUUUACAAUCCUAAUUUACAAGCACAAUUAGUGCACUUGUGUGAGCAAAUUGGCUAACUGCAUGUGCAAAUGUGGCUAACUAGGCAUUCGAGCAUGCAAUCAUGGCAACUGCAUGCUCAAUUAUGUGCCAAACACACACUGUUACUUUUUGAAAAUAUGGCAUGUGUUGGAAGAUCCUCUGCAAAGUUAUCCUUUGGGUUGUCCCAUCCCAUCAAUAUAUCUUCCCCUCCCAAUGAAUUCCUUCAAUUUUACCUGUCUCACUUCUUCUCUGACUAAUGCUAGGCAGAGCUAUGGCUAAUGGAUCAA
Molecule: long non-coding RNA, 1982 nt
Organism: Dermochelys coriacea (leatherback sea turtle)
Lineage: Eukaryota; Metazoa; Chordata; Testudines; Dermochelyidae
Exons: 3
Source: RefSeq, a predicted model, not a curated record